GAAGCGAUAUCCAAAAGUUAAUUUAAGGAUAUCCUACCAGAUUGUUAUCAAACAAAUAUUGCUUAUAAGCACACAACCCCAAAUCUUAACAUGCUUAAGAUUUGUCUUUCUUUCCAACUACAUCUUAUGGAGUCAUGAAAAUAUUGGAAGAUCUUCUAAUUUACAAUCAUAUUGUUUUAGAAGUAAUAUCCUAUAUAUGGGUAACAGAUAACAUCUAACGAACUAAAUCUUAUUCGAGUUCGUUCUUCUCCUAAUGGAGAAAUACAUUUAUCUUAUGAUUGCUUAUUUCCUUGAUAUCUUUCAAGGAAAACUGUUCUAAAGUGUUACCUUAUCUUGGAUCAAAUCUAAGGAGGUAAAUACUUUAGACGUCUUACUCAUCAACUUACAUUACUUGAAUUCUUUGAAACCUUUUGCAAAGUAUUCGGACUUGUGUUUAUUUAAAAUAAACUAUAGUCCAACCGAGGGUGAUCUUCGGUGAAUGUCAUCCAACAUGAGUAGUAUUAUGUUUGUGGACAAGUGCCACUAACAUCUAAGUGAAUUAACCUCAACAACUUUGUGAUUCUUUCUUCUUUCCAAAAGAAUAAAGAUUCAAACAUUUCGCCUCUAUACAAUUUUAACAAGAAGGUAUUGGAUCCGGAUUUAACAAUCCAAAGCAUCCAUUUAUUACCAACUCGUAAUUUAUGUUUUUAGAGGAAUCACAACUUAGUUGGGAUUAGUCACUACCUUGCAACCUUUUGGGUUUUAAGCAUCAUUAUAUUCUAAACAGUUAACACUACCAUAUCAUCUCUACUAUAGAGAUAAUUAAUUAGAUUACAAUAAUCUAAUCAUUCAUUAAUAAAGAACAAUGUUUUGUCAAAUAAAACAUUUAUCCAUUUCACAUAUAGUGACGGAAUUAAAUUCCUUAAAAUUGGAAUGUAAAGACAAUCUAUGUUUUUCCAAUUUCUUUGGUAGUUCAUAUGAGAAAGUAAGUACCAUCUGCUUUCGCAGAGAUCUACAUUUGAUUCACGUUUCGAAUGUGAAGUACUUUCUCUUCUCUCAUUUAUCUUCUACUUCUUAUUAGUCACACUUUUACAACGAUUGUAAAACAUAGUUACUAAUACGGAUUCAAGCAUUCAAGUAGAAGAACCAACUGUUUUGAACUUUUCAAGAACAAUUUACAACACCUUCGAAAGGUGUGUU
RNAcentral lists this long non-coding RNA (1179 nucleotides) under Malus domestica (apple). RNAcentral's name for it is "long non-coding RNA (MDOM_LNC019224)". The record is from RNAcentral. Lineage: Eukaryota; Viridiplantae; Streptophyta; Magnoliopsida; Rosales; Rosaceae.